UACGGGGGGAGCAAGCGUUGUUCGGAUUUACUGGGCGUAAAGGGCGCGUAGGCGGCCGUGCAAGUCGGUUGUGAAAUCUCCGGGCUUAACUCGGAACGGUCAACUGAUACUGCUCGGCUAGAGUGCGGAAGGGGCAACUGGAAUUCUUGGUGUAGCGGUGAAAUGCGUAGAUAUCAAGAGGAACACCUGCGGCGAAGGCGGCCAUCUGGACGGAUACUGACGCUGAGACGCGAAAGCGUGGGUAGCAAACAGG
Molecule: ribosomal RNA, 253 nt
Filed under: uncultured bacterium
Lineage: Bacteria
Description: partial 16S ribosomal RNA
Rfam family: Bacterial small subunit ribosomal RNA
Source: RNAcentral